RNAcentral lists this ribosomal RNA (248 nucleotides) under uncultured bacterium. RNAcentral's name for it is "partial 16S ribosomal RNA". It matches the Rfam family "Bacterial small subunit ribosomal RNA", at positions 14 to 257 of the family's 1533-position model. The record is from RNAcentral.
GUAUCAUGGCUCAGAUUGAACGCUGGCGGCAGGCCUAACACAUGCAAGUCGAACGGUAACAGGAAGAAGCUUGCUUCUUUGCUGACGAGUGGCGGACGGGUGAGUAAUGUCUGGGAAACUGCCUGAUGGAGGGGGAUAACGUACUGGAAACGGUAGCUAAUACCGCAUAACGUCGCAAGACCAAAGAGGGGGACCUUCGGGCCUCUUGCCAUCGGAUGUGCCCAGAUGGGAUUAGCUAGUAGGUGGGG